UGAAUUUUAAAUCAUUUUUUUUCUCUCGUCGGCAGCCAUCUGCGUUGCUGGAGAAGAAGAGUAUUCUGGAGAUGAAUCUGAAUCUGAGGUAUCUGGAGACUCUGUAACUGAAGAUGAAUCUGAAUCAGUUGAAGCUAGAGAAGAGUUUGAAGCAUGUCAAGUUGUAGACGAUGUCCCGCCCGAUCAUAUUUGUCCGGCCUGUUUACGAGAUCAUGAAUCUCCUCGAUGCCCCGUCUGUAACAUACCUUUCCUAUCGAACAAGGAUAUGCGCCAGCACUUCCAGGAGAAGCACAACAAGGCUGAAUGGAUUGCAGAUUUGGUAUCAAAAGCCGGCGAACUUUUAUCCCAACAGCCGCCAGAAGUCCUUGCAUCUUUAUCAGAAUGGAUGUCAAAAAAUUUCGGCAACUAACAGCGAGUGGAAGUUUCAGAAGUAUGGUAACUAGAAGUCUUUGCUGAUGCUCACUAGAAGUCUUUGCUGGGAUCGAAAUACGGUAUUCUCGGUAUUUGUUUACGUUUGACAGAUUGGAAUUGAUUCACUGCUUUAGGUUUAAUUGUAGCAAAUUGAAGAACGUCGUAUUGUGAUGAUUUCUGACGUCUAUAUUGCUAAUUGCCUGUGUUAGCAAAUUGCAAAUUUGUGAUGAUUUCUGACGUCUAUAUUGCUAAUUGCUUUGUGUUAGCAAAUUGCAAAUUGAAGAACUGCGUAUUGUGAUGGUUUAUGAGAUCUAUAUUGCUAAUUGCUAA
This is a non-coding RNA of Erythranthe guttata (spotted monkey flower), 741 nucleotides long. NCBI's taxonomy places the organism in Eukaryota, Viridiplantae, Streptophyta, Magnoliopsida, Lamiales, Phrymaceae. The record is from RefSeq and is a predicted model, not a curated record.